RNAcentral lists this long non-coding RNA (339 nucleotides) under Physcomitrium patens. RNAcentral describes it as "long non-coding RNA (PPAT_LNC009908)". Lineage: Eukaryota; Viridiplantae; Streptophyta; Bryopsida; Funariales; Funariaceae. The record is from RNAcentral.
UGCCAUAGGAUUUCUUAAAGAUUUAUUUAAGAUUUAAGAUUUGAUUUGGAUUUGUUUAAGUUUUUUUUUUUUUUUUUUUAUUUUUUAUUUUUUUGAAAUUUGAUUAAAAUUUAUCUAGAAUUUAUCUAAGAUUUGUUUAGGAUCUUUUUAGGAUUUUUUUAGGAUUUUAUUAAGAUUUAUCUAGAAUUUGUCUAAGAUUUGAUUAAGAUUUGUAUAGAAUUUGAUUUGGAUUUGUCUAAAAUUUGAUUAGGUUUUCUUUUAGAGCUUGUUUAGAAUUUGAUUAGGAUUUGUGUAGGAUUUAAUGAGGGUUUUUUUUAGGAUUUGUCUAGGAUUUGAUUA